RNAcentral lists this ribosomal RNA (1047 nucleotides) under Triticum aestivum (bread wheat). RNAcentral describes it as "partial small subunit ribosomal RNA". The record is from RNAcentral. Lineage: Eukaryota; Viridiplantae; Streptophyta; Magnoliopsida; Poales; Poaceae.
AUGAGAAGCUGGAUUUGCAUCAAAUCUCAGCUUCACCACUUCCAGUUCGAGAGAAUGGUGAGCUCAACCAAGGGCAAAGUGUGUGUAACCGGGGCCUCAGGCUUUCUCGCCUCUUGGCUCAUCAAAAGACUUCUUGAGUGUGGAUAUCAUGUGAUAGGGACAGUCAGAGACCCAGGGAAUCGGAAAAAAGUUGGACACCUUUGGAAAUUACCUGGUGCAAAUGAGAGGCUCCAACUUGUGAGAGCUGAUUUAUUGGAGGAAGGGAGCUUUGAUGAUGCUGUGAUGGCUUGUGAGGGUGUCUUCCACAUUGCAUCACCUGUCCUCGGGAAAUCUGACUCCAAUUGCAAGGAAGCAACACUUGGUCCUGCAAUUAAUGGCACCCUAAACGUGCUAAGGUCGUGCAAGAAGAGUCCGUUUCUAAAACGGGUUGUUCUCACAUCUUCAUCGUCUGCAGUGAGGAUUAGGGACGAAACCCAGCAGCCAGAACUGUUGUGGGAUGAAACAACGUGGAGCUGUGUGCCACUCUGCGAAAAGCUACAGCUAUGGUAUGCCCUGGCAAAGGUAUUUGCAGAGAAAGCAGCAUUGGACUUUGCCAAGGAAAAUAACAUUGACCUUGUCACUGUUCUUCCUUCAUUCGUGAUUGGGCCCAGUUUGUCCCAUGAACUGUGUACAACUGCUUCUGAUAUCCUUGGCUUACUUCAAGGUGACACGGACAGGUUCACUUCGUAUGGAAGGAUGGGAUAUGUUCACAUUGACGAUGUUGCACGGAGCCACAUUCUAGUGUACGAAACACCCGAGGCAAGGGGCAGAUAUCUGUGCAGUUCAGUGGUUCUGGAUAACAAUGAAUUGGUUGGCUUACUCACGAAGCAGUUUCCAGUAUUCCCUAUUCCAAGGAGGCUCAGUAACCCCUAUGGAAAGCAGGCGUAUCAGCUGAACACAUCCAAGCUCCAGGGGCUGGGUCUCAAGUUCAAAGGAGUGCAAGAGAUGUUCAACGACUGCGUCGAGUCGCUGAAAGCUCAGGGCCAUUUGCUGGAGUGCCCGUUGUGA